Molecule: long non-coding RNA, 379 nt
Organism: Selaginella moellendorffii
Lineage: Eukaryota; Viridiplantae; Streptophyta; Lycopodiopsida; Selaginellales; Selaginellaceae
Exons: 2
Source: RefSeq, a predicted model, not a curated record
GCCACGCACGCAUAGCUUCAGUCACAGGAGAUGGAGGCGCCAUAGGGCAGCUAGGGUUCUUAGCGGCAGUGAGGCGCAGUUUGCGUCUUCAUCCUCUUGUUUUCCCGAUAUCCUGGCAAUAUUUCCUUCUCUUUCUACAAUUGAGUGAUUCUUCUUUCUUUCCUCUAUCAGCACAGCGGCAAGAUUGAUGGGAAUGGGAGAGGCGCUGUGGAGAAAUCGAGGCAAAUGCCCACACUACAAGCUCCAGUGUGGAUGUUAUGUUGAAGGUGGAAGCUUGGGAAACGCUGCCUUGAAGGUAAAUUUUCCUCUCCAAUUUUUUCUUCCAGGUGAUUGUUUCUCAAGAAUGUGAUAAUUGAAAUCUGGGCCGUCCAUUGGAUAA